RNAcentral lists this unclassified non-coding RNA (186 nucleotides) under rhizosphere metagenome. Its description in RNAcentral is "partial ribosomal RNA internal transcribed spacer region". The record is from RNAcentral.
GAGUUCCUGCCCUUCGGGGUAGAUCUCCCACCCUUGCCUAUUAUACCUUUGUUGCUUUGGCAGGCCGCGCAAGCCACCGGCUCCGGCCUGGUGUGUGCCUGCCAGAGAACCUCAAACCCUGAAUCAUUAGCGUCGUCUGAGUACUAUAAAAUAGUUAAAACUUUCAACAACGGAUCUCUUGGUUCU